RNAcentral lists this ribosomal RNA (497 nucleotides) under uncultured bacterium. RNAcentral's name for it is "partial 16S ribosomal RNA". It matches the Rfam family "Bacterial small subunit ribosomal RNA", at positions 28 to 507 of the family's 1533-position model. The record is from RNAcentral.
GAUGAACGCUGGCGGCGUGCCUAAUACAUGCAAGUCGAGCGAACGGACGAGAAGCUUGCUUCUCUGAUGUUAGCGGCGGACGGGUGAGUAACACGUGGAUAACCUACCUAUAAGACUGGGAUAACUUCGGGAAACCGUAGCCAAUACCGGAUAAUAUUUUGAACCGCAUGGUUCAAAAGUGAAAGACGGUCUUGCUGUCACUUAUAGAUGGAUCCGCGCUGCAUUAGCUAGUUGGUAAGGUAACGGCUUACCAAGGCAACGAUGCAUAGCCGACCUGAGAGGGUGAUCGGCCACACUGGAACUGAGACACGGUCCAGACUCCUACGGGAGGCAGCAGUAGGGAAUCUUCCGCAAUGGGCGAAAGCCUGACGGAGCAACGCCGCGUGAGUGUUGAAGGUCUUCGGAUCGUAAAACUCUGUUAUUAGGGAAGAACAUAUGUGUAAGUAACUGUGCACAUCUUGACGGUACCUAAUCAGAAAGCCACGGCUAACUACGUG